RNAcentral lists this ribosomal RNA (502 nucleotides) under uncultured bacterium. Its description in RNAcentral is "partial 16S ribosomal RNA". It matches the Rfam family "Bacterial small subunit ribosomal RNA", at positions 899 to 1397 of the family's 1533-position model. The record is from RNAcentral.
ACUCAAAGGAAUUGACGGGGGCUCGCACAAGCAGUGGAGCAUGCGGUUUAAUUCGAUGUUACGCGAAAAACCUUACCAACCCUUGACAUGGUGGUCGCGCGUUCUAGAGAUAGAAUGCUUCGGUUCGGCCGGACCACACACAGGUGUUGCAUGGCUGUCGUCAGCUCGUGUCGUGAGAUGUUGGGUUAAGUCCCGCAACGAGCGCAACCCUCAUUCUUAUUUGCCAGCGGGUAAUGCCGGGAACUAUAAGAAAACUGCCGGUGAUAAGCCGGAGGAAGGUGAGGACGAUGUCAAGUCAUCAUGGCCCUUACGGGUUGGGCUACACGCGUGCUACAAUGGUAACUACAGAGGGAAGCAAGACAGUGAUGUGGAGCAAAUCCCUAAAAGUUAUCUCAGUUCGGAUUGCACUCUGCAACUCGAGUGCAUGAAGUUGGAAUUGCUAGUAAUCGCGGAUCAGCAUGCCGCGGUGAAUACGUUCUCGGGCCUUGUACACACCGCCCGU